UUUCCGGUUGAUCCUGCCGGAGGUUACUGCUAUCGAGGUUCGACUAAGCCAUGCGAGUCGAAUGUAGCAAUACAUGGCGAACUGCUCAGUAACACGUGGACAACCUGCCCUUAGGACGGGGAUAAACCCGGGAAACUGAGUAUAAUACCCGAUAGGUCUCGAUUGCUGGAAUGCAUCGAGAUUUAAAGCUCCGGCGCCUAAGGAUGGGUCUGCGGCCUAUCAGGUAGUAGUGGGUGUAGCGUACCUACUAGCCUACGACGGGUACGGGUUGUGAGAGCAAGAGCCCGGAGAUGGAUUCUGAGACACGAAUCCAGGCCCUACGGGGUGCAGCAGGCGCGAAAACUUUACAAUGCUGGCAACAGCGAUAAGGGAACCUCGAGUGCCAGGUUACAAAUCUGGCUGUCGAGAUGCCUAAAAAGCAUUUCAUAGCAAGGGCCGGGCAAGACCGGUGCCAGCCGCCGCGGUAACACCGGCGGCUCGAGUGGUAACCGUUAUUAUUGGGUCUAAAGGGUCCGUAGCCGGCCGGAUAAGUCUCUUGAGAAAUCUGGCAGCUUAACUAUCAGGCUUUCAGGAGAUACUGUCUGGCUCGAGGCCGGGAGAGGUGAGAGGUACUUCAGGGGUAGGGGUGAAAUCUUGUAAUCCUUGAAGGACCACCAGUGGCGAAGGCGUCUCACCAGAACGGACCUGACGGCAAGGGACGAAAGCUAGGGGCACGAACCGGAUUAGAUACCCGGGUAGUCCUAGCCGUAAACGAUACUCGCUAGGUGUCGGCCACGGUGCGACCGUUGUCGGUGCCGUAGGGAAGCCGUGAAGCGAGCCACCUGGGAAGUACGGCCGCAAGGCUGAAACUUAAAGGAAUUGGCGGGAAU
This 869-nucleotide ribosomal RNA is filed under the name uncultured Methanosaeta sp. Its description in RNAcentral is "bacterial SSU rRNA". It matches the Rfam family "Archaeal small subunit ribosomal RNA", at positions 1 to 875 of the family's 1478-position model. Lineage: Archaea; Methanobacteriati; Methanobacteriota; Methanomicrobia; Methanotrichales; Methanotrichaceae. The record is from RNAcentral.